Molecule: ribosomal RNA, 491 nt
Filed under: uncultured bacterium
Lineage: Bacteria
Description: partial 16S ribosomal RNA
Rfam family: Bacterial small subunit ribosomal RNA
Source: RNAcentral
AGUGAACGCUGGCGGUAGGCCUAACACAUGCAAGUAGAACGGCAGCACAGUAAUAGCUUGCUCUUACGGGUGGCGAGUGGCGGACGGGUGAGGUAUACAGCGGAAUCUACUGUUUCGGGGGGGAUAACGUAGGGAAACUUACGCUAAUACCGCAUACGUCCUCAGGGUGAACGCAUCACAACUUCGGACCUUGCGCGAUUGAAUGAGCCGAUGACGGAUUCGCUAGUUGGCGGGGUACAGCCCCACCCAGGCGACGAUCCGUAGCUGGUCCGAGAGGAUGAUCAGCCAACCUGUAACUGAGAUGCGGUCCAGCCUCCUACGGGACGCAGCAGUGGGGAAGAUGGGUCAAUGGGCGCAAGCCUGAUCCAGCCAUACCGCGCGGGUGAAGAAGGCCUUCGGGGUGUAAAGCCCUUUUGUGGGGAAAGAAAAGCAGCAGGUUAAUACCCCGCGGUUCUGACGGUACCCAAAGAAUAAGCACCGGCUACCUUCGU